GGAGGCCUAGGAUGAUAUGAGAUUUGCCUACAUUGUCAGAUUGCCCAUGACAGAUAUAUUAAGUGGUUCUGAGGCCUUC
Molecule: small nucleolar RNA, 79 nt
Organism: Manihot esculenta (cassava)
Lineage: Eukaryota; Viridiplantae; Streptophyta; Magnoliopsida; Malpighiales; Euphorbiaceae
Product: small nucleolar RNA SNORD34
Exons: 1
Source: RefSeq, a predicted model, not a curated record